GACUGACUGCCAAGGAGGAAGGAUGCUUGGUGGAGGCUCCGGCCCAGGAGCCAUUACAGUCCUUACAUGCGGGAGCUGGAGAUUGCGAGACUUAGACGGGAGACCUGUUGCCUACAGAUGAUUGGCGGGUGUUGGAAUCCCAGGGAGUAACCUGCAUCAAGGAACCCUGACACCACAUGGACGAGAGCUACAGGAAGCAUAGCAGGAAGUAGUCCAGGGAAGUGGAGUGAGUAGUAUUUCCUACCCAUGGAAGUUAUUGUACAGACACAAGAUGAGAGCCAAUCCGUGCCACAAGGAGCUUCCAUGCUAAAGAGACUUGAUGGACAACGUAUGGGGAAACUGAGGCACAGAGACUUCAAGUGAUUUGUGCAGGGUCACGGAAUUGGGUCAGAGGAAGAAUAAAAAGUAAGACUCAGGUAUCCUGAGUCCCAGG
Chelonia mydas (Green sea turtle) is the source of this 433-nucleotide long non-coding RNA. RefSeq lists it as uncharacterized. The record is from RefSeq and is a predicted model, not a curated record. The transcript is spliced from 2 exons. Lineage: Eukaryota; Metazoa; Chordata; Testudines; Cheloniidae.